This 646-nucleotide long non-coding RNA is filed under the name Lingula anatina. Its description in RNAcentral is "uncharacterized LOC106160807". The record is from RNAcentral. Lineage: Eukaryota; Metazoa; Brachiopoda; Lingulata; Lingulida; Lingulidae.
GCCACAUCUUCAGAACUAACUACAAGCCUUUUAUUUGUGUGAGAAGACGUUUUAUACAGCUUUGCCUGCAUCAGCCGAGAAAUCCCACAAAGAACCUUCAUGGAGACCAAAGUUUUCACUCUCUUUGCGUUCCUGGUUGCAAUGACAACUGUGUGCAGCGCCGCAUCCUUAGCCGAUGAUUUUGAUCGUCAAAAGCGCAGUGUAUGGGAUGUUGGCGGGAGUUACACCUGUAACCCUGAUCCUAAUUGCGCAGGCAGCGGUUUCACCGGAACAAUUACGAUCAAUUACCAAAAUUGCCGCUGCAGAGGAACACAGCUGUGUUGCGUGCAGAUUACAGGGAGAGGAACAUAUGGACGACCGCCCACUCCCCCUCCACGUAGCUUUGGUGGGUUUGGCAGUAGAAAUCGUGGUGGUUUCGGUACACGUGGUGGAUUCGGCGGUGGAUGGCGUGGUUAAAUGACGUGAAGACACAACUAGCAUGUGUUAGGACACUGAUUAAUUGGAUUUAAUAGUCAAAAUGGUGCGAUGGACGUAUAACUAAACUCUUUUCUUGUUGCUGUUUUUGUGCUCUUAUGAAGUAUAAAAUCAUUCCGAUGUGCAUGAACGUCGCAAACCUGCUAGAUACUGUUUUUUCAAGAAAAUAAAU